Molecule: ribosomal RNA, 480 nt
Filed under: uncultured bacterium
Lineage: Bacteria
Description: partial 16S ribosomal RNA
Rfam family: Bacterial small subunit ribosomal RNA
Source: RNAcentral
GACGAACGCUGGCGGCGUGCUUAACACAUGCAAGUCGAACGAUGAAGAAAAGACUCGAAGCUUCGGCAGAAAUUCAUUUCGGAUUAGUGGCAGACGGGUGAGUAACGCGUGAGCAACCUACCUCUUACAAAGGGAUAGCCUCGGGAAACCGGGAUUAAUACCAUAUAACAUUGCGACGAAGCAUUUCGAUGCAAUCAAAGCUACGGCGGUAAGAGAUGGGCUCGCGUCCCAUUAACCGGAUGGUGAGGCAACGGCUCACCUUAGUGACGAUGGGUAACCGGCCUGAGAGGGUGAACGGUCACACUGGAACUGAGACACGGUCCAGACUCCUACGGGAGGCAGCAGUGGGGAAUAUUGCACAAUGGAGGGAACUCUGAUGCAGCGACGCCGCGUGAGUGAUGAAGGAAUUCGUUUCGUAAAACUCUGUUCUAUGGGAAGAAAAGGACUGUACCAUAGGAGAAAGCUCCGGCUAAAUACGUG